UACGGGAGGCAGCAGUGAGGAAUAUUGGACAAUGGGCGGGAGCCUGAUCCAGCCAUGCCGCGUGCAGGAUGACGGCCCUAUGGGUUGUAAACUGCUUUUAUACGGGAAGAAACGCACCUACGUGUAGGUGUCUGACGGUACCGUAAGAAUAAGGACCGGCUAACUCCGUGCCAGCAGCCGCGGUAAUACGGAGGGUCCGAGCGUUAUCCGGAAUCAUUGGGUUUAAAGGGUCCGUAGGCGGGCCUGUAAGUCAGGGGUGAAAGUUUGUGGCUCAACCAUAAAAUUGCCUUUGAUACUGCAGGUCUUGAGUCAUGGUGGGGUCGCCGGAACAUGUGGUGUAGCGGUGAAAUGCAUAGAUAUCACAUAGAACACCGAUCGCGAAGGCAGGUGACCAACCAUGUACUGACGCUGAUGGACGAAAGCGUGGGUAGCGAACGGGAUUAGAUACCCCGGUAGUCCACGCCGUAAAACGAUGGAUACUAGCUGUGGGGACUUCGGUCUCCGUGGCCAAGCGAAAGUGAUAAGUUCCCCCCUGGA
This 537-nucleotide ribosomal RNA is filed under the name uncultured Bacteroidota bacterium. Its description in RNAcentral is "bacterial SSU rRNA". It matches the Rfam family "Bacterial small subunit ribosomal RNA", at positions 340 to 877 of the family's 1533-position model. The record is from RNAcentral. Lineage: Bacteria; Pseudomonadati; Bacteroidota.